GGGAAACUCAAAGGAAUAGACGGGGACCCGCGACAAGCAGCGGAGCAUGUGGUUUAAUUCGAAGCAACGCGAAGAACCGUUACCAGGUCUUGACAUCCUCUGACGAGCCUAGAGAUAGGAAGUUCCUUCGGGGACAGAGAGACAGGUGGUGCAUGGUUGUCGUCAGCUCGUGUCGUGAGAUGUUGGGUUAAGUCCCGCAACGAGCGCAACCCCUGUCAAUAGUUGCCAUCAUUGAGUUGGGCACUCUAUUGAGACUGCCGUAGACAAUACGGAGGAAGGUGGGGAUGACGUCAAAUCAUCAUGCCCCUUAUGACCUGGGCUACACACGUGCUACAAUGGUCUGAACAGAGGGUUGCGAAGCCGCGAGGUGGAGCUAAUCCCAGAAAACAGAUCCCAGUUCGGAUUGCAGGCUGCAACUCGCCUGCAUGAAGUUGGAGUUGCUAGUAAUCGCGGAUCAGAAUGCUGCGGUCGAAUCGCGUUCCCGGGUCUUCGUACACACCCGUCGACGCGGCCG
Molecule: ribosomal RNA, 514 nt
Filed under: uncultured bacterium
Lineage: Bacteria
Description: bacterial SSU rRNA
Rfam family: Bacterial small subunit ribosomal RNA
Source: RNAcentral